This 465-nucleotide ribosomal RNA is filed under the name uncultured bacterium. RNAcentral's name for it is "partial 16S ribosomal RNA". It matches the Rfam family "Bacterial small subunit ribosomal RNA", at positions 338 to 795 of the family's 1533-position model. The record is from RNAcentral.
CCUACGGGAGGCAGCAGUGGGGAAUAUUGCUCAAUGGGCGAAAGCCUGACGCAGCGACGCCGCGUGAGGGAUGAAGGUCUUCGGAUCGUCAACCUCUGUCAGCAGGGAAGCACGGUCACUGUGCUAAUCAGCAGUGAAUUGACGGUACCUGCAAGGGAAGCACCGGCUAACUCCGUUCCAGCAGCCGCGGUAAUACGGAGGGUGCGAGCGUUCAUCGGAAUUACGGGGCGUAAAGCGCUCGUAGGCGGUAUGUUAAGUCAAGGGUGAAAUCCCCGCGCUCAACGUGGGAACUGCCUUUGAAACUGGCAAACUGGAGUGUGGUAGAGGAUAGUGGAAUUCCAGGUGUAGGAGUGAAAUACGUAGAUAUCUGGAGGAACACCAGUGGCGAAGGCGACUAUCUGGCACAUAACUGACGCUGAGGAGCGAAAGCGUGGGUAGCAAACAGGAUUAGAUACCCGGGUAGUC